UACGUAGGGUGCGAGCGUUAAUCGGAAUUACUGGGCGUAAAGCGUGCGCAGGCGGUUUUGUAAGCCAGAUGUGAAAUCCCCGGGCUUAACCUGGGAAUGGCAUUUGGGACUGCAAGGCUGGAGUUUGGCAGAGGAGACUGGGAAUUCCUGGUGUAGCAGUGAAAUGCGUAGAUAUCAGGAGGAACACCGAUGGCGAAGGCAGGUCUCUGGGCUGAAACUGACGCUCAUGCACGAAAGCGUGGGGAGCAAACAGG
This 254-nucleotide ribosomal RNA is filed under the name uncultured bacterium. RNAcentral describes it as "partial 16S ribosomal RNA". It matches the Rfam family "Bacterial small subunit ribosomal RNA", at positions 524 to 776 of the family's 1533-position model. The record is from RNAcentral.